Molecule: long non-coding RNA, 1743 nt
Organism: Homo sapiens (human)
Lineage: Eukaryota; Metazoa; Chordata; Mammalia; Primates; Hominidae
Gene: RPAP3-DT
Product: RPAP3 divergent transcript
Source: Ensembl
CCCUUUAGCCUGGGCUUGAGCGCGCGCAGAAGUCAGCUUCGUGACUUCCUUCUCAGGAUGGAACCAGCUUGGUGGCUUGAGGGAAAGGGGUUCUGAGUUGCAAAUCAGAAACUUGAAGAUGAAAUGGCUACUACGCUGGGUAUUGCCUUUAUCUUGAAUGCCAGCCUGAUGGUCCAAGGUGAACAAGCCUUCCUGUGUUUUCUGAAUGUUCCCCCGCACUUUGCCUGCCACCAUGUAAGAUGUGUCUUUGCGCCUCCUUUGCCUUCCACCAUGAUUGUGCGGCCUCCCCAGCCAUGUGGAACGGUGAGUCUAUUAAACCUCUUUUUCUUUACAAAUUACCCAGUCUCGGGUAUUUCUUCAUAGCAGUAUGAAAAUGGACUAAUACAUAUGGUGUUUUUGUAUAAAUUGAAAAAAAGCUUCCAUACGAGUGGAAGCAGCUCUGUGGGUGCUUGACUGGCUACCACCUUUGGGCAAAUUCAGAAAACACACUUGUUUCUCUCAGCAGACACAACUCUUCACCAGUGCACAAAACCUGAUGAGAAGGAUACAGACUGGAUUUUGGUCCAGCUUGCUGCUUAACUAGGUUCCCUUGCACAACGCACAACCUGUGCAAUGAUUAUGCAGUGAAAUUGAUGGCCAUUACCUAACGUGGCUUCAGUGACCAUGUUUUCAAAACUGGGAGUCAGAGUGCAUGGCUUGACAUCAAGGCUUUGUGUCACAAAGCAGAAGAUCAUUAAUCUGGGAGUUGACAACAUUGGAAGCACCUAAACAAGUUGAUUAUUCAUACAAGAUUUUUUUCAAGUAUUCAUUUAAAACUAUGCAGUUAAAGGUGGUGCAUGUCCUGUUCUAAUUGGUAGGCUGGAAAUGAUGGUAUGGAGAUGUUGCACCACGUGGUCCCUUCACUAGAGGAAGAGUGGUAUGAAUCGUGUCCGUCACUGUGACACCAUGCAGUCUUCCUGGCAGUACACAAGUUGUGAGAGUUUGCUACCAUUUUUACAUUUUUGUGAUUUAAAGUGUUGAAUAACAAUUAAUAAUGUCAUACAUACUAAAAUAUUAUUUUUAUCAUUUUACCCUUUUUUAGAAUUUAGUACUUAAACUUUCAAGAUAUUGUUAAAACUGAUAUUUCAGACAGAAAUUCUAGGUAAAUGACAUCUACUGUAUUUUAAGUUGGGGGCAUCCUAGAAAACCUGAGAAAAGUGGUGGCCAAAUUCCUGACCCUGCCUCUGUCCCUCAGUGCUUUCUGUCCAGACCCUUAGAGCCCCUGUGAGUCCUGAACGCUGCUCUGGCCUGCUGGACACCCAGGCCAGUGGCCCCUUAGACAGGCUGGACAUGCCUUCGUCUCACAAGGAGGCUCACCAGUACACAGAUGUUCAUAGUCUUCACAGCAGUUCCCAUGCCAGAGACACCGGCGGUCACACUGGCAGGCAGCGUCCCGGUUAAAUUUCUCAUUACAUCGAGAUGCACAGGAUUCUAUUUUUCCUAUGGGCAGUAAAGGUCACCAACUCAGCUCUAUGGAGACCCUGUUCUCCCCAGGGUGCCUCCUGCAGGAGGGUUCACAGACCAGGGCAGGAGUGUACCUGGCAGGGAAGGGCAUUACUCUCUGCAAAGGAGAAGUACAUCCACAGCCUCCCAUGCACAACAUAAGCCUCCUCCCCACCACCCAACACCCACCAAAUAUUUCAAGGCUCAUCAAAGAGACCAGGAUCACAAACCCAAAUCCCUAUUUGGGUUAGGCCCAUAACA